ACGUCUUCCUUGAUUUGGAUGACUCGAUAAGCUUGAACUCUUUGGCGUGGACAUCAGCUGAGAUAGAGGUUGAGUUGGAGAUGGAGAUUACUUCAGUCAGCUUGAUUCGGAGAUGACCCUGUAUAGAUAAAAGGGGUUAUCCUCUUGAUUCUGCACUUCACUCAUUCAGAGGUGCAAAUGAAGGUAGGAAUUUUGACAACGCCAUCUCACCGCUAGGAAUUGGUGGAAAGUGAGUCCAGAUUUCUCACAUAGAAAUGAGGAGACUUCUGCUUCACGGCUUGGUCCCAGUUUUCUGGUUGCUUUCCUUCUUGCCUGCAGGUUGCUGGAAGCACUCCAAGAGAACAUCAAGGGUGAGCUUUCUUCUCCAGACACCAAUUUUAUGUUUUGUAUGGUUGAUGUCCAGGCUGAUCUGUUCUUUGCGGGGCUUAUUUUGCAACUGGUGCAAGGCCAUUUGUUCAGUUGCGGUGGAAAGGAAGGCAGGAGGUAGAAGGCUUUUGGUGGGGACUGUUGUUGAAUUUCAGAGCAAAUGAUACUCCGUUUGCUGCUGCAAAGCGCUUGUUGGUACUCAACAAGGCUUAAAAAGAAAUUCCACCAGAUUGGUCAUAGUCAUACACUCGUUGAUACACCUGUAUCGUAAACGAGAUUGCGCCCGCUCUGGGGACCUCCACAGCUCCAUGGUGACACAAGUAAAAGAGACACUGCAAAAAGAAAGAAAUAGCACUUGUAGGUCAGAGAGGCUUCAACCUUUUCGUCGUCUGCUUGUCGUCUCCUCCUUCGAACAAAGUCGCUAAACACUUCAUCUCUUCUCUGCAGCAGGGCUUUGCCUUUCUCUUGAUGUGUAUUCUGUAUCCUUAACUUUGUGCUUGCUUUUAUAGAGUGUCUUGGAGAUAAGAUUGAGUCUUGAUUUUGAAUUCGAAUAAUCUUAUCUCGAGAUAGCUGGUUGUGCAUGGCAAUGAGUUUGUUAAAAUCAAUUUGAGCCAAGCCCACAGAAUCUGUAUAAAUUUGGAUAUCAUGACUUGAAUUUGAAUUUGAAUGUUUUGAUGUGCUACCAUAUCACCUCCCAGCUUUACACGGAUAAUGUCUACCGUGUUCAAACUUUUGACAAGGCAUUUACUUUGACUAUUGUUUGUUACCAUUUGAAUUUGAUGGUUAUCUUGGAAGCUACUCCAAUAGAAAAUCAUGGCUUGUUUUAUUUUUUAUUUUUUAAACAAGCACUUGGAGGUGGAACAUUAGGCCGAGGCGCCGGCACUGGAGGUGAAGAACACGUAGCUAGGGUUUUCAAUUUGAUUUUUUCGUUUUAAAUUUUUUUGAAUUUGAUCCCAACAUUUGUUCAAUUCAAUCCAUAAGCGAAGCUUCCGUGAUAUCCAAGCUUAGUAUCUGAAAGUUUGAUUUGUCAAAUUUGAAUUUGUUCGGUUCUGGACUUUCAUAUGUAUGUGUUAUUUGGUCAAUUUGGAUUUGUAUAUCAGUUUGAUAUGAUUCUUUCCCUUUAAAUUUACAUGUUACAGAGGUGUUAGGAAAGAUUUGAUGGAGUGGCAGGAACAUACAUGCCACUUUGGUUCACACUACUGAGAAGGUCAAUUUCUGCUUCUCUCUGUUCAAUUUUGAUUGAAUGCGUCAAAUAACUAGAUAUUCCAUUCGAUAUGUUGCUAAGCUACUUAAUUAAGAUUCUAGGUUCUGGAAAAUAGUAAAAGAAGGUGAAAUCCACUGUAAAAUUGUUAGCCGGGUCUUCAUACCACAACACAUUUCAAAGAUGUGUUGUGGAUGUGUAAUUUCUCUUAUCAUUCGUCACAGUCCAGGCUUCAGCUUCUCUUGAAACAAGCACAUUUCUCUAUCAUUCGUCAUAUUUCAACCUGGGAUGCAUGUCCAAUGGAAGUCAAUAUUGGAGGGGACAAGGAAACAUCAAUUGAGCAUCAGGCAUUGUCUUCCCCUACCCUUCAGAUACAUCAGUGAUUAGUUGAGCAUGAUCUAGUAGAGUUAUAGCAUAGACCAAACCUAGGAGGGUACUAAAGAGGUUAAACACUUUAGAGACAUGAGAAUGAUGCAUCAGAUGGUUUUCUUGAGAGAUUAAUGUUUGAGUGUGAUAUAGGUGAUCAUGACUGUCAGGCGCUUAAGAGGUUACAAACAGCACCAGUUCGAGACAUGUUCUUAAAGCAUUGAAAGAAGGCAUGAGGGUACUGAAGGCUGCCAGUUCGAAGACCUUCCUGUUUGGUUAUGAUACUCUUCUUCCUCUGAUGCUGGAAGAGUCCCUAUGAAGUACAUUUUAGAAAGAUUGCAAGCACCCUUCUGUGUAUGAAAUUGGGAUAUUAGGCUUCAAAGUUUUAUGAUUCAAUUAUAUAUCCAAAGAUACAUUAUG
Molecule: long non-coding RNA, 2353 nt
Organism: Rosa chinensis
Lineage: Eukaryota; Viridiplantae; Streptophyta; Magnoliopsida; Rosales; Rosaceae
Exons: 3
Source: RefSeq, a predicted model, not a curated record